GGCCGCGCUGGCCGGGCUCCGCCUCCCGCCGGCGGUCAGAGACGCCCCCCACGGUCAGCGCUGGGAGGGGGAGGGGGUGACCUGCAGGAAAUGCCGGGCCGGGUUGCCGAGCUUCAGCCCGGAGCCCCUCCUCAGCAAUGCCAGCCGCUUCUGCUGGCGUCAGGAUGCUGCCUUUUCUGGUGUGUAUGUGAGGUCUGAACUGCCCCCAGAGCUGUACUGCAGGAAUUGAAAGCCCAUCUGCAGCACCUGGGUGGAGAAUUUGCCUUCUCCACUCACCACACCAGUAUCAGCUGAUGGUGCAAACUAUGAUGGCUGUGACACUGCAUUUCCUCUUUGGGAUGUCCACCUAGAAGAUGAAAGAGGAGAAAUCGCCAGCCCAGAAUUUGGAACCAGCUGGUUGCACUAAUAGUUUUGUGGUGCCCCUGCUUCAGACUCCCCCCCCCCGCCAUUUGUCUCUCCAUCUUUCUCCCUCUCGAAUCUGACCUGCCAUGUAGUGCCCUAUGCUCUACACCUCCGACUACGCUGUUCCUCUCUCUGUGAAUCUCUUUCUCCUGCUCAUCUGCUGAGAUACAACCUUCUCCUCAAAAACCUUUUUCUCAAAAACUUUCUCACCACUCAUCCAGUGUAUGUCUCACAUUGGUCCCUAGCAAGUGUGACAACUGGGAUCUUGAGGACACUGGACCACUUUGUUUAGCUGUUCAUUCUGUCUAGCUCAGGUUCUUUUGGCUCACUGAUGUGAUAUUUCCAUUGCAGGUGAACAUGCUGCUUUUCCAUGGUGGACUUGGUGGGCAAGACCAUGUCCCUUGCUUCAUUGGUUCAAUGCCAUGAGGCUGGAAGCAAAUUUCUUCACUCUGCCUUUGUUUCUUGCUCAUCAGAGACUGUGACCACCUCUGCUACUGUCUUUCCAGCCAUCCCUUCCCUCACAGACUCUGGAUGUGAUGUUUCCUUCAAACCUACAGCCCCUUGUGCUAAUGAGUGGCUAUCCUUUGUAACAGAAUCAAAUCAGGACCACAGCACUGAUGUGGCUCAAGUCUUCUUCCCCUGGGGUCCAGCCCUUUCAACAAUGAACUCAAGUAUGACAUCGCUGACUACCCCAGUCCUGGCAGACCGCUCUCCCUUUACACCUCCCCAAGCUUUGUUUCUUUGAAAAUGUGUAAGGCUUGUUUCUGUCAGUAGAGUAUAAUUACCUCAAAAGCAGAGACCAUGAUUAUAAUAG
This 1216-nucleotide long non-coding RNA is filed under the name Heterocephalus glaber (naked mole-rat). RNAcentral describes it as "lncRNA (ENSHGLG00100035083.1)". The record is from RNAcentral. Lineage: Eukaryota; Metazoa; Chordata; Mammalia; Rodentia; Bathyergidae.